Passer montanus (Eurasian tree sparrow) is the source of this 929-nucleotide long non-coding RNA. RefSeq lists it as uncharacterized. The transcript is spliced from 4 exons. The record is from RefSeq and is a predicted model, not a curated record. NCBI's taxonomy places the organism in Eukaryota, Metazoa, Chordata, Aves, Passeriformes, Passeridae.
AUGGCGCGCAGCUUGCGCAGGGACGAGCCGGGCCCGCUGUAGGGGUCCUCGAAGUCGCGGUCCUUCUGGGCGCGGUAGGCGCGGAGCAGGUCGCUGGUGUCGUCGCGCAGACGGCGGCGCGAGAAGCCGGGCGAGGUUCCUGCGCCUGCCGUCUGGAGAGGCCGUGGGACCUGCAGCCGCCACCUGCACAGUCUGAACUCUGAAUUCUCUGCUACCGCUACCUGUGUGUCCUUCUUCCCAUCCGUGGUGGGCUAGGAGGGUUCCAGCUGGCGCCUAAAAAUGUAAGGAAAUCAAAUACAGAGAUGAUGCUUGUGUGAAUCAUGCUGCUCAGCUUGUGUGUUGCCAGAAGGAUUUGUCAGCUGGACCACCACAGUCACAGCCACUUUUAAUCUUUCUCCAUCUGCCUGAAGGAAAUGCUGGAGACAUUGAAUGGAUGUUCAAAUGGGAACAGGAAUACCUGCAGGCUGAUCUCUCCAGGCCUGUCUCUGGCCUUUGCCACAAUGAAAAAGUUAAGCAAACAUAACUACUCAGAUGAUAGCUUGACCUGUAGUGCUUCAGUUGUGCAUUAUGAUCAGUGACAGGAGAGAUUUGUUGCAGUUUUGUUCUGUCUACACUGCAUGGUGGAACACAGUUUCAAGUGAAGAGUUAGAGAACGCCUCAUAAUUGCAUUUUAAAAAAAUCUUCUGCUAAUCAGAAUUCAGACAUGUCAAUAAAAGAAAUAAAAAAGUUUUUCAUUCCUCCAAUGCAAAUCUGUGACAAAGUUUUCCAGAGCUAUACCUUCAUGCAAAGCAUCAUUUCCCCAUUGUUUUAUCAAGUCCAUCAAUGCAGAGAGAUGAGCAAGAAGGAGAACUCUUUUCAUAUAGUUCCUAGUUUCACUAGGAGCUGUGGGUGUGCUCCUAAUAUGAUGUGCUGGUUUUGACUCAGGUACU